UGCCGAUACUCCGAUAAAGGAUAAACCCCUAAAAUUGCCUGCAUCGCCCUUCGUUGGAGCCCUAAACCCGCUCUAUACCAACGUCAUCUGCACAAUUGCCAUCGCACAGCAGAAUAAUGGGCGAUCGGAGGGAGAGGGAGAGGGAAAGGGAUAGGGACAGAGAUAGAGACCGGGAUCGGAAGCGAGAUCGAGACGACCGUGAUCGUCUCCGGCACCGGCACAUCGAUCAUGAUCGUGAACGAGACCGUGAUAGAGAGCGAGACCAUGACCGUGACCGUGAGCGUAAGGAAAGGAACAAACGGUCAUACACACCAGAACGAGCUCGUUCUCGCCACGAUAGGUCUCGGACUCGCUCCCCGGACCACCACCGGUCGCGUUCUAGAUCCACCGACAGGCACCGCAGGAGAAGCCACCACCGUACCCCGUCCCCUGACCAACAGCGGAAGCGUCGCAAGCACGGAGAUGAUGAUAGCCAGCGUACCGCGGCUGUAGUUUCGGAGUUUGUGGAUGAGAUUGUGAAGGAGAAACAGCAACAGAAGAACUCUAAGGAUGUAGAAAUGGUUGAACAUGAUGGUGGUGGAGAGAUGGAUGCCAGUGAAAUAGAGAUGAUGAAGAUGAUGGGCAUACCGGUUGGGUUUGAUUCAACUAAAGGGAAGCCGGUCGAAGGGAAUGAUAUAAGCGGGAUCAGAGCGGUGACUAAAAGACAGCCUCGUCAAUAUAUGAACCGCCGUGGUGGGUUCAAUCGCCCAUUGCCUGCUGAAGUGAACCGCUGAUUGAGAUGCUUGAAAACAUGACAAACUCUCAAGUCACUUGAUGCAUGAUCCCUUUCAUUGAUUCAACAAUUUUAAUGUCAUCAAUUGAUAUAUUUGUGUAUCUGAGUUGUUAGCAAACUUGAAAAAAUCACUUAUGGAUUCCUUACAUGUGUUGUGAAAUUUGUUUAAGAGAUGGUUAUGAUUAAUGCAAUUUCGCAAGCUUGUGCA
Molecule: RNA transcript, 980 nt
Organism: Lactuca sativa (garden lettuce)
Lineage: Eukaryota; Viridiplantae; Streptophyta; Magnoliopsida; Asterales; Asteraceae
Gene name: U4/U6.U5 small nuclear ribonucleoprotein
Source: RefSeq, a predicted model, not a curated record